GGGUUGUGAGGUUAAGCGACUAAGCGUACACGGUGGAUGCCCUGGCAGUCAGAGGCGAUGAAGGGCGUGCUAAUCUGCGAUAAGCGCCGGUAAGGUGAUAUGAACCGUUAUAACCGGCGAUACCCGAAUGGGGAAACCCAGUGUGACUCGUCACACUAUCAUUAACUGAAUCCAUAGGUUAAUGAGGCGAACCGGGGGAACUGAAACAUCUAAGUACCCCGAGGAAAAGAAAUCAACCGAGAUUCCCCCAGUAGCGGCGAGCGAACGGGGAGGAGCCCAGAGCCUGAAUCAGCAUGUGUGUUAGUGGAAGCGUCUGGAAAGGCGCGCGAUACAGGGUGACAGCCCCGUACACAAAAGCGCAUGUGCUGUGAGCUCGAUGAGUAGGGCGGGACACGUGGUAUCCUGUCUGAAUAUGGGGGGACCAUCCUCCAAGGCUAAAUACUCCUGACUGACCGAUAGUGAACCAGUACCGUGAGGGAAAGGCGAAAAGAACCCCGGCGAGGGGAGUGAAAAAGAACCUGAAACCGUGUACGUACAAGCAGUGGGAGCACAGGUUUACCUGUGUGACUGCGUACCUUUUGUAUAAUGGGUCAGCGACUUAUAUUCUGUAGCAAGGUUAACCGAAUAGGGGAGCCGGAGGGAAACCGAGUCUUAAUUGGGCGUUAAGUUGCAGGGUAUAGACCCGAAACCCGGUGAUCUAGCCAUGGGCAGGUUGAAGGUUGGGUAACACUAACUGGAGGACCGAACCGACUAAUGUUGAAAAAUUAGCGGAUGACCUGUGGCUGGGGGUGAAAGGCCAAUCAAACCGGGAGAUAGCUGGUUCUCCCCGAAAGCUAUUUAGGUAGCGCCUCGUGAAUUCAUCUCCGGGGGUAGAGCACUGUUUCGGCUAGGGGGCCAUCCCGGCUUACCAACCCGAUGCAAACUGCGAAUACCGGAGAAUGUUAUCACGGGAGACACACGGCGGGUGCUAACGUCCGUCGUGAAGAGGGAAACAACCCAGACCGCCAGCUAAGGUCCCAAAGUCAUGGUUAAGUGGGAAACGAUGUGGGAAGGCCCAGACAGCCAGGAUGUUGGCUUAGAAGCAGCCAUCAUUUAAAGAAAGCGUAAUAGCUCACUGGUCGAGUCGGCCUGCGCGGAAGAUGUAACGGGGCUAAACCAUGCACCGAAGCUGCGGCAGCGACGCUUAUGCGUUGUUGGGUAGGGGAGCGUUCUGUAAGCCUGCGAAGGUGGCCUGUGAGGGUUGCUGGAGGUAUCAGAAGUGCGAAUGCUGACAUAAGUAACGAUAAAGCGGGUGAAAAGCCCGCUCGCCGGAAGACCAAGGGUUCCUGUCCAACGUUAAUCGGGGCAGGGUGAGUCGACCCCUAAGGCGAGGCCGAAAGGCGUAGUCGAUGGGAAACGGGUUAAUAUUCCCGUACUUGGUGUUACUGCGAAGGGGGGACGGAGAAGGCUAUGUUGGCCGGGCGACGGUU
RNAcentral lists this ribosomal RNA (1469 nucleotides) under Salmonella enterica subsp. enterica. RNAcentral describes it as "partial 23S ribosomal RNA". It matches the Rfam family "Bacterial large subunit ribosomal RNA", at positions 1 to 1503 of the family's 2925-position model. Lineage: Bacteria; Pseudomonadati; Pseudomonadota; Gammaproteobacteria; Enterobacterales; Enterobacteriaceae. The record is from RNAcentral.